Cyanistes caeruleus (blue tit) is the source of this 4514-nucleotide long non-coding RNA. RefSeq lists it as uncharacterized. Lineage: Eukaryota; Metazoa; Chordata; Aves; Passeriformes; Paridae. The record is from RefSeq and is a predicted model, not a curated record.
CUGCUGUGACCAGGCUACCAGCUCUCAAACGUGCUUGGGCUUACACAGGCGUUCACCUCGUUUUGCUGGGCUGCCAGGGCACCUCUGAGGCUGAGGCAUUUGUGCUCUGGCUGUUGCCCAGCAGCCCUGUGCCUGUGGAGAGGGGUCAGGCCUGCUCUGGACAGAGGCCAUGGCCUGCAGGUGGCAUUGGAGGUGGCACUGCGCCUUGUCACACCUGCCACCUUGCUGUCUUCUCCUUGGCUUCCUCAGCACUGGGGAGCACGGCACAUCAAGCUGGGCCCUCUGGACCCAGGCUGUGGAAGGGUGUUUAGUUCCCCCCAGCUCAAUGCCUUCCAGCGCCAGGCAUCGGCAGCAGUACUGGAGAUUAGGCUGAGUUGGGCUCCAAAGCCUGCUGCUGUUUCAGAAGGCCACUGCGAUCUUGCUGAGUCCACUUUCUGAAGACAAUAACAUUUCUGAAUAGUCCCUGUGAACUUGUUCCUGCCUGCAAAAUCUGGAUCACUAGUGUUUCAGAUGAGGCUGGCUUGGCUGCAUUUUGUGUGGUGAUUUAAAGUGCUUCAUUGCCACUGAGUCAUCGCUGUGCUUAGAUGAAUCGAUUAUGACUGCGUCGGGGUCUUCCUGGGGAUUCACUGAAGCCCAAGCGAUGAGUGCCGUGCCGUCCCAUCAGUCGCAACUCCAGGAAAGUCCUUGAAAACUAAUAGGAAACCAGAAUUCCGGCCAGGAAAAAACACUUCAGCUUCAUCCUCCUCGACAGGUAGUAAACUGCUGCAUUGGAAAAGAUCUCACAGACUCUCCCUGAGGAUGCAUUUGCACUGGUUUGAUAGAUAUUUUAGACUUACAUAAACAAAAGAGAGAAAUUUGACAUCUAUUUCAAAAUGCAGUCAUGACAACAAGCCUAUUUUUUAGACAUUGCAAAGACAGCAAGAUUCUACAUUCUGCUUUUAGAGCCAUCUCACUCGUUCAGAAGAAGUCUCUCCUGUUGAUCUUCUAAGUGAAUGUUUUACUGCCAGAAGGAAUUCCUGAAAGUGAAAAAGGAAAAGAAAACCAGGAAUUACCAAUAUUCUGUUUUAUACAAAUCUAAUUACAUUUGCUGCUGCUUGAACACAUUCAUGGGUGAAUUUCAGGCAAGCCAAGAACACAAGGACAAAGUGGAAGAAUAAGCAAGUGGAAAAGAGAGGCAAAAUAAGUUUUAUAGCAACAAUACCAGCUUUGCCUUCCAGUAAUAUCUAGGGCUCAAGCAAGCUCAAUUGAAGCAGCAACUAUAUGUAUAUAUACAACAGUAUUUUUAAUCUGAAUGAACCUGGGAGAGAACUAAGGAAAGAAAACAAAGUAUUUGUUCAUGGUUGGAGAAACUUUAUUUGGCUGACAAUAAAGACUUGUGACUGGACAUCAUUUGCUCUGAACCAGUACCUGACCACAGGAGACUUCUUAGGAUAACCACUGCCUUCAGAAGGAGAAAGAUGGUGUGGCAUGGGUGAAGAAGAUGCAGCCCCUCAUACCUAAAGUUUACCAGCAGAGGACACAACACAGAAUGUGGGGAGAGCGGCUGUGUUGCUGUGCAUCCUCGCACUCGCAUUGCAGCUUUGUCCUGGCCUUUUAAGAUGUUGGCUUGGAUUUGACAGAGGUGCACCUGGCAGUCUGCAGCCAAUGCAGCCAAAAGCCCCUUAUGUUUCUGUGAGGCUCUAUUUCCUGUUAGUAAAAUUAAAGUAUUUAAAAAUAAGGAGUCAUCCAGGUAUGCUUGUUAAAAAAACUGUACAAACCCUGGGAUUAUUUGAAUAGUUUUUUCCUAAAAGUUCAGUAAUUACUUGGAAAAUUAAUACAGUAUCUUUUAAGGGAAAUAUUGUCUGUUUGAAAGUCAAUGUGUAUUGCCUUCAGGAAGUUCUUCUGAUGUCUUUGAGUGGACUCUACAAAGUAAAUACCUUCCUGUACACUGAUUAGUAAACUAUUAAUAUAAUAGAUAUAGAAGGACAGAGUCAACAUUUUUGGUUCUUAUUGUUCAAUGUUUUUUAAAGCCUUUGCUGUGAAUAAAAAGAGACUUUAAUAUGCUCCUGCAUAGAUUUAUAUUCACCGUAUUGCUAAGAUCUCCUGGAAAUGGAAGCAAUUUUCAUUUAAAUAAUUUAUUAUCAGACUCACAGUGCACUCUGCAUCUUAAAUGCAAACUGACUCCAAGCAUUCAAGACUAACUCAGGAUGCAAGAAAAGGCUCCCUUCAGGUAUUGGAAGUUGAAAUAAGAUCUGCCCAGAGCCUUCUUCAGGCUGAAAAAUCUCAGCUCUCUCAGCCAUCUUCACAGGAGAGGUGUUCCAGAGCCCUGAUCAUCACCAUGGCCUCCUCUGGACUUGUUCCAACAGUUCUGUGUCCUUAUGUUGAGGACCCCAGAGCUGGAUGCAGUGCUGCAGGUGGGGUCUCACCAGAGCAGAUUAGAGGGGCAGAAUCACUUCCCUUGACCUGCUGUUCAUGCUGCUUUGGUUGCAGCCCAGGAUAUGGUUGGCUUUUGGGGCCAACCCAAUCAUCUUACAGAGAAAUAAGGAAAAUGAGAUUCUGCAGUGGACCAGACUUCAGUGAUUUGCUUUUCAUGAGGUGUGUCUCUGCUCAGACCUUCUGAGCAAAGAUCAGCACUCAGAGUUUAAUGCUUGUUGGUCAACCUUCUGUAUUUUAAAAUGUUCCCAAAGUAUGGAGAAACAUAUCUGAAGAACAAUGGAGCUCAACAUUUCCUCUCCCUUGGAUUUUAAGAGAGGAUAAUGGAUGUUCUCUCUUAAAGCAUUUGUGCUAUUGAUUGUGUGAUAGGUUUUAUCACUUUUACAAAAAGUGGCACCUCACCUUGUUCUGUGUUCAUUACUUUAUUUACUUAUGAGAAAAAUAUUAUCUUCAGAAGGUCCCAGGCAGGGAUUUACCAUCCUGGAUCAAAUGAGUAAAACCUGAUAAUUCCAAAGUUGUUGGCAAGAAAAUAGCAGCCCCAUGACAGGUCAUGUUCCCACAGGUUUCUCUGAUAAUCACUAAUUGCUUCAGAAUCACAUAUUCGGAAUGGAAAAGAGAGCUGAUUCCAUCAGGUCACAUCAUUAAGAUGAAAAGGUGACACACAACAUCAGCUGCCUAGCAAUAUCAUAUUUCUUCUACUUAUCAGUGAUUUGUUUAUUCUCUUUUUAAAUAAUAGAAAUUAUGAAGUUUCUGCCAUUUUUGUAAGUCCAUAGUAGUUCCUCAUCUGAAUACAAUAAAUUCUCAAUAGUUCCUACAUACAUGAAUUUUCUUCUGAUUUUCAUACUCUCCUACUAAACUAAAUAAUUGCAUUUUUGUCCUUGUUAAGGCUCUUCAAUAUCUUUAAGCAUUUAUAAUGUGUCCAAUCAGCUGUAUAAUGGCAAGCUAUACAAAUGCUGGGGGAGGAUCUUCUAAAUGAAAAUAUGAUAGUUAGGCAUUGAUUUUCUGUAAAAGCAGGGCACUUAACAGCACAAUGCUCUCUCCUGGUCCAGUUCCAGGAAAGGAUUUAGGCACCUAAGACAACAGCUGAGUAGAUACAAAUUAUCUAAAUCAAUUCAGCCACUAUUUAACGUUUGUGGAGCCUAAAUUCAAUAAGGAGCUCCCUGUUCCAUCUUAAAAUCCCUAAGCACAUAAGCCUGUGCUUCUGUAGAUGCUAAGAGGAGAUGUUGUCUAUGUAGCCAUCUUAUUACUUAUUUUCCUUCUAAAUAUGGCUGGAACCCCAGAAGCAGACAUUCCUUCACUUUAAUUGACUCUGAGACUUAACCUAAGAAGUUUCUUUGCAGUGUGCCAAAAGCACAUCUACAGAAACAGGCUACGCUUUUCUGCAGUCUCUCCUUUUUUAAAUUACUGGAGAAAAUGACAAUGCUGUUCACCUUUUCUAUCUUAUUCUAGAGUUCACUCAGUUCACAAGUUAGGGUAUGAGUUCAGUUUCUUCAUCAGAAAGCAUUAAACACACAGACUCUGUCUCAAAGAAAAGUGCUUUCAACACUAUUUAUGCCUUCAGGUGCAUUUUUGAGAGCAAGAGGAGAAAAUCCUUGUACCUUUGGCUGCAGCUGUGCUACCCCCAUGGCAGGGAGUGCCAGGGUCUCUGGCCAUAGGGGCCUUGCCAUGCUGUAGCCUGCAGUGUUCCAGAUGAAGCAUCUGCAAAUCAUCCUGACCUGAUAAGUGCAGAAGUCAAGGGAUGCAAUAUUGGAUCUGGGAGUCCAUUAUUAGUUUCAGGUACUCAAAAUGUAUAUUUGAUACCCAUGUGGUCAGUCUCUGCACUCAUGUUAGUUUAUCUCCUUACCCAUUCUUAUUUACUUUUCCUCUGAAAAUAUCUCAGAUUUUAAGAAUUUAUCUGUAGGGCUGGGGGAAAAUUCAUAUCAGAAACAAUCUCAUUCUUCUCAAGUUCUUCUCUGCAUAUAUUUCUUUCCCUGAACAUUUCAAUUAUACAUUGGUUACUUCUUUUUGAGCCUUUGAUCAUGGUAUAGAUCUUUUUCUGGGACAUUUCUUGUUUUGUACAUUUACCUGGUAUUGAGUUUUUACAUUGCUUGAAAAAUUGAGCA